Molecule: ribosomal RNA, 468 nt
Filed under: uncultured bacterium
Lineage: Bacteria
Description: partial 16S ribosomal RNA
Rfam family: Bacterial small subunit ribosomal RNA
Source: RNAcentral
GACGAACGCUGGCGGCGUGCUUAACACAUGCAAGUCGAACGGAAAGGCCCUGCUUUUGUGGGGUGCUCGAGUGGCGAACGGGUGAGUAACACGUGAGUAACCUGCCCUUGACUUUGGGAUAACUUCAGGAAACUGGGGCUAAUACCGGAUAGGAGCUCCUGCUGCAUGGUGGGGGUUGGAAAGUUUCGGCGGUUGUGGAUGGACUCGCGGCUUAUCAGCUUGUUGGUGGGGUAGUGGCUUACCAAGGCUUUGACGGGUAGCCGGCCUGAGAGGGUGACCGGCCACAUGGGGACUGAGAGACGGCCCAGAAUCCUACGGGAGGCAGCAGUGGGGAAUAUGGCACAAUGGGCGGAAGCCUGAUGCAGAAACGCCGCGUGCGGGAUGACGGCCUUCGGGUGGUAAACCGCUUUCGCCUGUGACGAAGCGUGAGUGACGGUAAUGGGUAAAGAAGCAACGGCUAACUAUGUG